UGUGCCUACGGGGCGCAGCAGUGAGGAAUAUUGGCCAAUGGGCGGAAGCCUGAACCAGCCAAGUCGCGUGAGGGAAUAAGGCCCUACGGGUCGUAGACCUCUUUUGCCGGGGAGCAAGGGCGGGGACGUGUCCCGGCCCGGUGAGUACCCGGAGAAAAAGCAUCGGCUACCUCCGCGCCAGCAGCCGCGGUACUACGGAGGAUGCGAGCGUUAUCCGGAUUUAUUGGGUUUAAAGGGUGCGUAGGCGGGUUUUUACGUCAGCGGUAAAAAUU
This 272-nucleotide ribosomal RNA is filed under the name uncultured bacterium. RNAcentral's name for it is "partial 16S ribosomal RNA". It matches the Rfam family "Bacterial small subunit ribosomal RNA", at positions 333 to 602 of the family's 1533-position model. The record is from RNAcentral.